AAAAACUAAAACAAUUUGAUU
Molecule: unclassified non-coding RNA, 21 nt
Filed under: Dictyostelium discoideum
Lineage: Eukaryota; Evosea; Eumycetozoa; Dictyosteliales; Dictyosteliaceae
Source: RNAcentral